RNAcentral lists this unclassified non-coding RNA (298 nucleotides) under uncultured fungus. RNAcentral's name for it is "partial contains small subunit ribosomal RNA, internal transcribed spacer 1, and 5.8S ribosomal RNA". The stretch from base 1 to 73 matches the Rfam family "Eukaryotic small subunit ribosomal RNA", at positions 1759 to 1831 of the family's 1831-position model. The record is from RNAcentral. Lineage: Eukaryota; Fungi.
UCAAACUUGGUCAUUUAGAGGAAGUAAAAGUCGUAACAAGGUCUCCGUUGGUGAACCAGCGGAGGGAUCAUUAAAAAUAGCGGAACGGUCCUCUGGGCCUGACCUCUUAACCCCUGUGAACAUUACCUGUUUCGUUGCUUCGGCAGGCGGCCCCAGGGCGGGGCUACCGCCUGUUCACUCAGGUGCCUGCCGAAGGAAACAUCUAAACUCGUUAUAUAUUGUCAUCUGAGUCUACUAGACAAAUAUCAAAACUUUCAACAACGGAUCUCUUGGUUCUGGCAUCGAUGAAGAACGCAGC